Long non-coding RNA from Cephus cinctus (wheat stem sawfly), 1049 nucleotides. RefSeq lists it as uncharacterized. The record is from RefSeq and is a predicted model, not a curated record. The transcript has 4 exons. NCBI's taxonomy places the organism in Eukaryota, Metazoa, Arthropoda, Insecta, Hymenoptera, Cephidae.
CAUGUAGCUCGGAAUUUCCGUCAGUAGCAUCCAGAAACCCCAACUCUGACCACAAUGGGCAAUGAUGAUUGCCCACAUUGGCAUUGACGUGCAGAUGUUUACCCAUGGUGUCACGUGUUUCUGCGAGGAAACAGAACAUAACGUUGAAGCUGUCCUGAAUGAACUUCUUCUCGUCGAAACUGAUCAUUUUACUUUGGGCUGGUGAAUCCGCACCACAAAUGUAAAACAAAAUAGUCCAUAACAAUGAAACAGUUCCAAAGACGUAAAAUACACUAGGCCACCCAAUUGACGAAGCAGCGAGAUAUCCAGAAAUUGGCAUAGCAAUGACAGUGCCAAAUUGAGCACCGGCGUACGCAAACGUUCCUAUGAAUAGGUGGAACCCAUUUUGACAGCAUGGUGUGUAGGCUUGGCAUAAGGCACGCCUGUGACAGUCCCAUUCCCACCCGACAAGCGCAAACUGCACCCCAGUCGCCAUACUUGGCUGCCAAAGGAACGAGCAUGUUGAGAAUGCUGCAAAUGAACAUUCCAGUUGACAGGAGUCUUUGAGCACUCCAAUGCUGAGCGAGGUAACCACUCGGAAGUUGCAUUAUGGUGUAACCCCAGAAGAAGGAGCUCAGGAUGAUAGACUUGGUCCACUCGUUCCAAUCAUCCUCCGGCUCAACCUUCAUGUAUUCCGUCCGAGGAAUCGGAAUUUUGGUGUCGUCCGCUAAUGACUUCAUGCUGAUGGCUUACACUUCCUUGUCGAACUACGAGCCGGGAACCAAGGGGACAGGAUUCUAUUAAAGGUUCACUAUCGUCAGUUAACUAAGUUACUCUGAUUUUAUACAAGUUGGAGCCCCCACCCUGUGAAAUUUAUGGAAAAAAGUAAAUUCUUACACACAAUCUUGACGAAUCAUAAGUACGGGCGCUUUUUUGAGGAGAAAACUGGUGAAUGUGGUGAUUGAUAGACGCUGUAAAAAAUGAUAACGAAGCCUCAACCCAUGAUGAUGCCUGUUCUUCUUCUUGUUAUAUAAGAAGCAUUGUAAUUGCGCAAAGGCAGAGGAACAAGG